UUAGCAAGGAAUAAAGAAUUUGUAGGAUUAAAAGUUUCCUUUUGCAUCAUGAUCAAAAGAAAAAGUCUUUUAUUAAGUUUACUUGAAAUAAACUAAUAUUUAAUAUUAUAGUUGAGAUCUUAAAGUUAAACAAGUAGUAUUCUUAAAAUAGUAUUAAAGAGGUGAGAAACUAAGCACAGUUUAUUAUAACCAGUUGAGGUUUAAUUAUUUAGUAUAACUACAAAAGUGAAAAUAUUUUUGUAGUAUCUAGAAUAUACAUGAGUUGUUGUUUAAAUAGGGAGAGUAGUCUCUAUUUUUAAUAAAGUGUGUUACAACUUUAAAACACGUUGAUGAUAUUUAGUAUUAGCUAACCUCAUAAAUUUAUAAUGCUUUUAUUUAUAAUUUUUGAAUUAGUAAUAAUAACAUUGUGUAUUUUUCUUGAAAAUACUCGGACUGUUUAUCAAAAACAUUGCGUCUUGUUUUAUUUAAGAGGUUAGUCCUGCUCAGUGUAAUUUUAUAAAUAGCCGCAUUAGCCUGAGUGUGCUAAGGUAGCAUAAUUACUAGCUCUUUAAUUGGGAGAUUGUUUGAAAGGAUUAACCAGGGUAUAAAGAAGAAUUACAAUAUAUUUGAAUUUACUAUGUUAGUACAGAAGCUAACAAAAAAAGUAUAGACGGAAAGACCCUAGGAGGUUUAAUGUUGAUCAUUUUUUUUUGGGCAAAAUAAAAUAAUUCAUUUUAGUUAAGAUCCUUAAGAAUAAGAAAACGAUAAAAGCUACCCUAGGGAUAACAGAGUAAGAAGCGAGGAGAGGUCAUAUUGAUUCGCUUAAUUGCUACCUCGAUGUUGACUUAAGAGAAGUUCGUUGGCGCAGAAGCUAUCGUUACAGGUCUGUUCGACCUUUAGAUUCUUUCAUGAGUUGAGUUAAGACCGAUGUAAAUCAGGUUGGUUCCUAUCUUAUGUUGCUUACCUUUAGUACGAAAGGAAUUAGGUGAGUUUAUUUU
Molecule: ribosomal RNA, 977 nt
Filed under: Pseudochauhanea macrorchis
Lineage: Eukaryota; Metazoa; Platyhelminthes; Monogenea; Mazocraeidea; Chauhaneidae
Description: 16S ribosomal RNA
Rfam family: Archaeal large subunit ribosomal RNA (bases 645-933)
Source: RNAcentral